AUGGUCACCCUGGAGCCGACUUUCAUGGCAAAGCUGGACCAGCACACCCCAAAGAUUCUUUCUUUGAUGGCUUCAAGAGGGGGAGCUGCAAAACCGAAGAUCCAUCUCAUACAGAACAUGCUUCUACAAGAGGAGGCGUCUUCAAUUGAGAAAAAGAGAGAGGCUGCAAUCCGGGGCUUAAUCCUGUACCUUGGAGAAAAGGAUGAUGAUCUCAUUAAAGAUGAAUUGCUCGCCACUACCACUGAGGUUCCCCACUACCUCUACAGAGAUGGGAGAAAUCCCAGCGGGAGAAGAAUCUUCAUGCAGAUCUCACCAGGAAUCCAUGCAAGCAAAAAGACCCGGCCUAUAAAGGCCAGAAAAAGGGUCACUAUAACAUUCAUAUAAAUUAAUACUUAAGUAAGUAUAGUACAUACUACAUUUAAUACUAAAUGUAAAUAGAUGCAUAUUAACACAUAUUUAUACAUAUACAUUGUUUUCUAAUAAUCAUGUUAACUACUUUUUAACACAUUCUCAACAUUAACAUGAGACAAAUGGCUGAACAUUUCUUUCCGUUCAUCUCCUUUACUUUUAACUAAAACACCGUAAUGUAAAACAAUUUUAAAACAUACAUGAAAUGAAUGCCCCGUUAAUCCACAUUAACAUUAACAGAUGCACACUUCAACUCUG
RNAcentral lists this long non-coding RNA (666 nucleotides) under Gadus morhua (Atlantic cod). Its description in RNAcentral is "lncRNA (ENSGMOG00000030477.1)". The record is from RNAcentral. Lineage: Eukaryota; Metazoa; Chordata; Actinopteri; Gadiformes; Gadidae.